AGCUUUGCGCAGUGGCAGUAUCGUAGCCAAUGAGGUUUAUCCGAGGCGCGAUUAUUGCUAAUUGAAAACUGAAUCACUAUAUUUUUUCCCAACUUACAGAUACUAACUUACCUAAGUUUUUCCAAGGCAUUUUUCCGUUCAAUGC
Mirounga angustirostris (Northern elephant seal) is the source of this 145-nucleotide small nuclear RNA. RefSeq annotates it as U4 spliceosomal RNA. The record is from RefSeq and is a predicted model, not a curated record. Lineage: Eukaryota; Metazoa; Chordata; Mammalia; Carnivora; Phocidae. The transcript has a single exon.